GAAGGUAUAGCUCAAAGUGGUAGAGUGCAUGCUUAGCAUGUGCAAGGUCCCGGGUUCAAUCCCCAGUACCUCCU
Molecule: transfer RNA, 74 nt
Filed under: Camelus bactrianus (Bactrian camel)
Lineage: Eukaryota; Metazoa; Chordata; Mammalia; Artiodactyla; Camelidae
Also listed under: 2 other names
Rfam family: tRNA
About the family: Transfer RNA (tRNA) molecules are approximately 80 nucleotides in length.
Source: Rfam by way of RNAcentral